Molecule: long non-coding RNA, 1148 nt
Organism: Lolium perenne
Lineage: Eukaryota; Viridiplantae; Streptophyta; Magnoliopsida; Poales; Poaceae
Source: RefSeq, a predicted model, not a curated record
AGUAAAUACAUUGCUAAUAAAUUUGCGACGAACGUCAUCUUGAUCUUUCCCAUGUCUAAUUACUCCAUUGGCAUCAAAAAUUGAAUUUUGAAGAUUAACUUUUGGUAAAGACUACCUAUCGUAGUCCGAUACAGUGCAAAACAUCGGACCGAUCCGGCACCGUCAGAUUCCCAUUACAUCACUCGGCGCGCAUGCAUCCAGGUUUCAUGCUAAAAUAAAGGUCGCACGUUGCCCACCUCACCCAUAAUUCCGGUUAGCUCCUCCCAAACUGAUCACUAAAAUCCCGCUCGAUUCGCUCCUCCAAAAAAAGUUGCUGCGUCCGCCUCGUGUAGUCGUCGUCGCCGCCACCCUGAUCGUCGGUGGCCUGUGGUCUAGAGUCGAUCGGGGCGGCAUAGCCAGGCCGGCAAGGGUGUAGUACUGACUCCAGACAAAGCAGCCUGUCGGAGAUUGCUUCCUUGAACAUCUAUACAAAUCGGAUAUAUAGGUAAUUCAAACUAAAUUUGAUCAUCGUUUAUGCUGAAUUACCAUAAAGUUGCUGCUCCUUUCUGGCUUGAUCUCGUAGUCAGCUUGGAGCUGCUCUGAUCUUACCGUGGCGGUUGAUCUGGUCUUGCCGUAACGGCACUACUCCGAUCUGACGGUGUGGCUCGCCAACAACGACAUCCAUAUGGAUUGAUCGGACGGGAGAAUGCAUCCUCCACACCAACCAGUCGAUGCUAUCAACAGUAUUGGGACUGCAUUCUGCCUACAAAUCCUAGCCAAGUCAUCAAUGAAUUUCAUCCAGAUGGCGUGGCUUAUGUUCAACGAGGAAGACCAACAGCAGAAGCAAGCGAGCAUGCGGCGUGUCAUUCAAGGGCUAAAGCCUCAUGGAAUGAUGUCUCCAUGCGCCAAAGGAAAUGAACCAAGUGUUUGUAACACAUUGUUGCUUAUGCAUCUAUAAAACAUACCGUCUUGUAGAAUGAAGCAAAUUUGUUGUAUGUAGGAAGCGUAUGAAAGUGCAACACUGCUAUUUUUGAUAACUUGAAGGAAGCAAAUACGUAUAUUGUCUGAAAUAUGUCAAAUGAAUGUAUGAAGCACUAAAAUGUACUCCAAGUCUCCAAGUAUAGGAAUGAAUCUUCCACAAAAAAAAGAAAAUAUUGCAGGUUUCCUUA